Long non-coding RNA from Canis lupus familiaris (dog), 2079 nucleotides. RefSeq lists it as uncharacterized. The transcript has 3 exons. NCBI's taxonomy places the organism in Eukaryota, Metazoa, Chordata, Mammalia, Carnivora, Canidae. The record is from RefSeq and is a predicted model, not a curated record.
GCCCGGGGCUGCCAGGGUCCCGCAGUGGAGCUGCCAGGAGCUGGCCACUCCAGCAGGACCUGGUGGUCUCCCAUCGAACAUUCAUCUCCUGGUGCCUGGUUCACUUGCUUAGGGAAGGUGUCGGUGAUCCCAGGAUUCAAAAGCUGCCCGCCAAGUCCUUUCGGAGACAACCAGUGGAACUCCCGUCCCAAGCAGAACGAAUCAGCGCCUAUGCCUCAGCCUCAUCCCAGACACACAUCUAGCACUUUGUCUCAAGAUCUUACUCAGCCUGUGUUUUCUACAGAUGGGGAAGGGAUAAGGACAGUGAUUUUUUCCCAAGGUUUUGUGAUGAUUAAAAGGUGAUACGUGCAGAACACUUUAGCACAUACGUGGCUCAUAACAGGCAACAGAGGACAGUUACUGGGGAUGUGUUCACAGACACAAGGGUCAAGGACUUCUCCAUCAAUACUAGAUAAUUAAACAAAUUAAGCAUUCUGUGUCAGUGUAGGCAUGCACUGCAAGCUCCUCUGCCUUCUCAUCGAGUGUGUCGAGCAUAACUUGACCUUCUGACCUCCAGGUCAUCAGAAUGUGCUCUUGUUUCAAGCUAGAUGGCCACGAGCCCUGACAGAUGAGGUUCCCUCCUCAAAAGUGCUUGCACGGUCAGUUUCUUUUGGACGUUAGCUUCUCAGAAGCACACGUCAAAGUGCACAAUUGCCUGGGCCCCAUGGUGUGUCUCCCCAGCAAUGUCACCUGGUUGCUUUCUGCAAAAUUACCUUUUGAAUUUUUGUCUGAAGCACUCUAUAUUCCUCCAAUCCCUCCAGAAAAGCUUCUUGGUUGCUCUCAAACACUUUUGCGUUUUCAGAGCCACGGAGAGGGGAAGAAGCUUGAAUUACAGGCUGGGGCACUCGGGAAGCAGUCCGGGAGACAGGCAUGGCCACAGCUGCUCUGGGAGCCCAGUGGAUGUGUCUGCUUUUCUUCCUCGGUCUUGCCCCUGGUACCCAGCUCCUCAGGGAUGGGCAUCAAGUCCGCCCACCAUAUGAGGAGUCUGGGUGGGGUGAUUUGGGUAUACCCUCUCCCAAUCCUGAAAAUGCAACCUUGCAAAAGGACCACUCUUCUGGAGCCAAGAUUCUAGGACAUUGGCUUUGUUCCAAGACCGUAUAAAUCUUUUGUUUUACCUUGGAAAGAGUCGCAGUCACAAGUAGCAUUGAAAGAAAAGCAGCCUCUUUGAAAAGUUCCGUAUUGUAGCAAGGAGGGCCAAAUGCCAUCACCUCGGCGAAUGGCCUCUCCUCUGGACUCAGGGUGGUCUCACUUCUCCGCCUGCCCAUGUUUCUGCCACGCCCUCCACAACUAAAUGGAAGCAUUUUAAGAGCAGGAGCAGUGUCCAGUUAUCUGUGUAGCGGGGAUAAGGACAACAAUCCUAACCUUUAUUGAAUGCAAUCUGUGUCAGGAUUUUUUUUGUUUUGUUUUUUGUUUUUUGUUUUUUGGAGAAGUAGAGGGGCUGGGGAGAGGCAGCCCACUUUAGCUGUUAAAAGGAACCAAGGUGUCUUUGUGAAGCAUGUCAGAGGAAGCCCAUGCACACCUGGACUCAGUUUCCCUCCAAUGUCCUGAGGAGGUGGGUGGCACUUUGCUGGGUCUCAGGGUUAUGCCUGGGAGCUGUGUUGAGUUUUUCAUCACCUGGGGGACAUGCCCUAUCCUUCAUGACAUCAGCAGCAAGUGACCAUCACCUGUAUAUCCUUGCCAGCACCCUGGGAAGUCUGAAGGUAAACUGAGGACGGGAGCCAUCAUCUGUGGUUAGCUGCUUAUAAAGAAAUCUCAGUUUGUCCAUACAGAGGAGCAAAUAAACUGGCACAAGUCAGCUGGCUACUCUAUGUAUCUUAACCUAGUGUAGUUGUUGAGUUGUUAUGGGACACGAUUGAGGUGUUGGAACAUUUUAUACCUAAAAGCUCUAAGGUGACGAUUUUCCUGAGCCCUCCCUGAAACCUGAGAUUACAAUCAAUAUGAGUAGAGAUAGAAUAUACUAUUUCUGAUGAAAGCACGCCAGCUCCGUACACUUGAAGCUUACGACCGUGUUCUAACAACCAGGUACUAAACUACUAAUGA